AACAAACGCUGGCGGCGUGCCUAACACAUGCAAGUCGUACGAGAAAGUUGGCUUCGGCCAAUGAGUAAAGUGGCGCACGGGUGAGUAACGCGUGGAUAAUCUGCCCCUCAGUUGGGAAUAACUCAUCGAAAGGUGAGCUAAUACCGAAUAACACUACUUGGCCUUGGCCAGGCAGUCAAAGAGAGCCUCUGCUUGCAAGCCCUCGCUGAAGGAUGAGUCCGCGUACCAUUAGCUAGUUGGUAGGGUAAUGGCCUACCAAGGCGACGAUGGUUAGCUGGUCUGAGAGGAUGAUCAGCCACACUGGAACUGAGACACGGUCCAGACUCCUACGGGAGGCAG
RNAcentral lists this ribosomal RNA (339 nucleotides) under uncultured Pseudomonadota bacterium. Its description in RNAcentral is "bacterial SSU rRNA". It matches the Rfam family "Bacterial small subunit ribosomal RNA", at positions 29 to 351 of the family's 1533-position model. Lineage: Bacteria; Pseudomonadati; Pseudomonadota. The record is from RNAcentral.